AAAUUGAAGAGUUUGAUCAUGGCUCAGAUUGAACGCUGGCGGCAGGCCUAACACAUGCAAGUCGAACGGUAACAGGAAGCAGCUUGCUGCUUCGCUGACGAGUGGCGGACGGGUGAGUAAUGUCUGGGAAACUGCCUGAUGGAGGGGGAUAACUACUGGAAACGGUAGCUAAUACCGCAUAACGUCGCAAGACCAAAGAGGGGGACCUUCGGGCCUCUUGCCAUCGGAUGUGCCCAGAUGGGAUUAGCUUGUUGGUGGGGUAACGGCUCACCAAGGCGACGAUCCCUAGCUGGUCUGAGAGGAUGACCAGCCACACUGGAACUGAGACACGGUCCAGACUCCUACGGGAGGCAGCAGUGGGGAAUAUUGCACAAUGGGCGCAAGCCUGAUGCAGCCAUGCCGCGUGUAUGAAGAAGGCCUUCGGGUUGUAAAGUACUUUCAGCGGGGAGGAAGGGAGUAAAGUUAAUACCUUUGCUCAUUGACGUUACCCGCAGAAGAAGCACCGGCUAACUCCGUGCCAGCAGCCGCGGUAAUACGGAGGGUGCAAGCGUUAAUCGGAAUUACUGGGCGUAAAGCGCACGCAGGCGGUUUGUUAAGUCAGAUGUGAAAUCCCCGGGCUCAACCUGGGAACUGCAUCUGAUACUGGCAAGCUUGA
This 655-nucleotide ribosomal RNA is filed under the name Shigella flexneri. RNAcentral describes it as "bacterial SSU rRNA". It matches the Rfam family "Bacterial small subunit ribosomal RNA", at positions 1 to 645 of the family's 1533-position model. Lineage: Bacteria; Pseudomonadati; Pseudomonadota; Gammaproteobacteria; Enterobacterales; Enterobacteriaceae. The record is from RNAcentral.